This 2687-nucleotide long non-coding RNA is filed under the name Chinchilla lanigera (long-tailed chinchilla). RNAcentral describes it as "lncRNA (ENSCLAG00000029300.1)". Lineage: Eukaryota; Metazoa; Chordata; Mammalia; Rodentia; Chinchillidae. The record is from RNAcentral.
UACAUCCUUAUUGCUGCCACUGCCUCUGACCCAACAGACACUAAUAAGGAAUCUCACAGAACAUGAAGUAUUCCCAGCGCACAGAGGGCCACAUAAAAAGGUGCCUCUGACAGCCAGUACUAGGAAUUCAGGCAUUCCUGGAAGCCCAGGGGAAAAUCUGAUGGGGACCUCUGGCAUCCUCAGGCAUCCUGCCAUCUGCAGGUACCUGGGUCGGUACCAGGGUGUGCCUUGCCUCUCCUACUCACUGGCUGCGUCAAUUAAAUUACUAUUUAUUUCACCAGCCAAGGUGCCGUGACUAAUUACUUUAGCUCCUCUUUAAAGUAGUAACAGAGACAGGUGGAUUCUCCUUGAGGAAAUCUGAAUCUGGCUGCCUCCUCCUGAAUUACUGAGUUAUAGCACCAGUAACAACCACUUAAGAUCCUGUCUCACAGCCAAGGCAAUCAGAUCUGAAGCACCCUCCACCCACAAGCCAGCAGCCAGGAGCACGCGCCGUGUGCGUGCGUGUGUGCGUGCGCGCGCGCGCGUAUGACGCACGGGAGCAGCGCACUUCUUCCGGUGUGUACCUUCUAGGCUAUACUUCAGGGUACAGGAAAGUGACAGUGCAAAGUAUUUUCUUUUGUCAUGUCAACUCCAGUCACUGCUAAAUAUCUUUAUCAAACUGUCAUUAUUUUGUCCGUUUUUAUAAGGUGCUGCACAGACUCCUGCAGUGUUUCUGCAUUCGCUAUCUCAGGUGACAUUCAUGACAAAUCAGUCAGACUUCAGUACUUCCACCCCACGGACAAAGGCACUGAGGGGAGCGGCACGAGAAGAGUAAGCCAGUAAGCAAGGCAGGAUGUCUGCAUUUCAUUUGAAAUCCUCAGAUACUGAUUUCAUCACCACUGAGGCUCAAGCAUCUGGAGAGGGCUCUGCAAUCAUCACCUUCUCAGAGGGCUGUUAUGAAACGACAUGGGAUGGCGGAGGGCGAAGGCCUGGGGAAGUGGCCAAGGACCUGGUGCAUGAGCAGAGCCCACAGUUCCCAAGGAACCUCAACUGGGAGAAUUUGAUGCCAAUAAUUUUUUCAGAAGACACCUGCAAAGUUGUAAUAAAGAAAUGAUCUGAGCUCCAACUACGGUGCUUUUACUUUGUCACAUUUAGAUGCUUACCCAUGGCAAGUUAAAAGGCCAGAAAAAUGAAGUAUUCCUAGUGUGGAAAUUCUCCCAAUAGACUGUCUCUUAAUCCUUCACCAACCAUAGGAGCUGCAUUUGUGAAAAAAAUUACAGCUGGCAAAACAGUAUUACAAAACAGGAUGUGGAGAAAAUCCUAAAGAGAUUUUCAAGAAACUAGAAAUAUUCUACAAACUGAUCAGUCUUAAAAUACAACCUACGUGGGGUAUAUGGUAUGUGUGGUCGAAGUACGGAUCAUACUGACACUCAGCUUCACCUCAAAGGGGACUGAGAAAAGCUCUGGGCAUCACAUGCAUUCAGACACACCAUAUAUAUUAGGAUGCUGUGAACCAGGAGUAAACCCUAGGCACAAAAUCAAAAGAGAGCAAAAUCUCUACUGAGCAAUUCUACAGAGCAGUACUAUGGGCGGGUAGGCUGCAAGAUGCACAGUUAAAGGAGGUGCACAGUUCUGGACAUCCAUGCAUACAAGAGCAGGUAGUAAAAAAGAUUUCAGGAGUCAAUUACAAAUCUCUAAACUAAGCCAGCAUUAACAGAUUUAAAGUCCCGCCCUGGGAAAAUCCUUUUAUAACACCAUGGGAGCAAUCAAGCUGUGAUUUAAGGAAGCAGAUUCUUCUGUAACUUCCACAAGGAAGUUCAUUGGAGCUCACAGUUUUUCAAACUAUUUCUUACCGAUUUUGAGUUCAAAGGUAUUUGCGUAUCCUCUUACCUAUGUUUACUUUUUUCCAUCUAGGUGAAUGUUCUAUCAAAUUGCUGCUUGUUUCAAAACUCAAUGCAGUGCUUGGGAACAAAUACCCAUAUGGGUUCUGUAUAUUCAAAGCAGCUCAGUGAACUAGGACAGGUAGAAAUACAGCAGACUUAAGUAUUUUAACAUACAUGUCUCUGCACUUUAGGUGGUAGUCUCAGUUGUCUAAGGUUUGGUUAGCCAGGACUCCUAGAUUUCUUAGACCUGGGAUCGUUACUUAUUCCUAAAUUCUUUUUUUUUUUUUUUUUUUUGGUUUUUCUCCGGUACCGGGAACCGAACUCACGACCUUGCGCUUGCCAUUAUUCCUAAAUUCUAUUGCCUGAUAGCAUAAGCUACAUAGCCCUUGCUAGGCCCCUUGGGGGAAAAAAAUUAUCAAGCCCUAAGGUGAUGAUGAGACAUCCGUUUCUCAACAGCAGUCAGCACUGCCAUUUUGACCCUGUCAAUUCUGGGUGUGGGGGACUGCAGGAGGUUCUGCAGCAUCUGUAGUCUCUAUUCACUAGAUACAGUAGGACCCCUGCGCCAGGUGUCACAACCAAAAAUGUCUCCAGACACGACCACAUGGCCACCAAAAGGCAAAAUCCCGUCCUAGCCCCAACCUGCAUAAGAACCACUGCCGUAAGAAAGCUAAUGACUGACCACGGAAAUCUGUACCUCUUUCACUCUCACUACUCUUAUCUCAGCAGGGUAGAUACUUUCAUACAAGGGAGGAAGCUAAAAAAAAAGCAGUCAUUAAACCCAUAAAAUAAUUUUAUGUACAGAGCACAAGAGAAUUUAGGUUCCUG